Molecule: ribosomal RNA, 274 nt
Filed under: uncultured bacterium
Lineage: Bacteria
Description: partial 16S ribosomal RNA
Rfam family: Bacterial small subunit ribosomal RNA
Source: RNAcentral
AUACAGAGGGUGCGAGCGUUAAUCGGAAUUACUGGGCGUAAAGCGCGCGUAGGCGGCUUGGUCAGUCGGAUGUGAAAGCCCCGGGCUCAACCUGGGAAUGGCAUUCGAUACUGCCAGGCUAGAGUAUGGGAGAGGGAAGUGGAAUUUCCGGUGUAGCGGUGAAAUGCGUAGAUAUCGGAAGGAACACCAGUGGCGAAGGCGACUUCCUGGCCCAAUACUGACGCUGAGGUGCGAAAGCGUGGGGAGCGAACAGGAUUAGAUACCCGAGUAGUCC